AAUCACGUCACCUUAAAUCAAGCCUGUUAAACUGGAACAGCCAUCUCUAAACAGAAGGGAGGCUCUGUUACACCACUGAUCAGAUCCAGCCUCGGCAUCGCUGUGCCUCCACCCUCGGUCCCCACCUUGCAAACCGCCACCGACCCCACCAACGGCAGCCUUCCUCCACCUCCUCCUCCUGUUGCAGAUUUGGACCCCAGCAUGCCCGCCCCUCCUCCCCCACCCCCUCCUGCGGACACUGGUCUCCCCCCUCCACCCUUCAUGUCCUCACCCACCACUUUUCCCUCACCUCCUCCUCCACCGACUCUCAGUCCAUCCAGCAGCAUGUACCCGCCUCCACCUCCUUCCCUAGACGGGGGUGUCCCUCUUCCUCCUCCACCCGCACCGGUGUCAGGAGCUGGUCCUCCUCCACCACCUCCUCCUCCUCCACCUCCACCCAACACUGGCACCGCUGGUGUUGUGCCACCACCUCCGCCACCACCUCCUCCACCUCCAUCUUUCUAAAAAGAAUGUUACAGUCGGUGUUACUGGGUGAUUUUGUCCUCGUUAUAGUACCUCAGAUUUCUUUUCUAACUCAGAGUUACUCAGGCUGUGAUCAGGUUUGCUGUGAGACAGAUGUAUAAAACACGUUCUGCAUGAGGCAUAUUUUGCAGGUCAGAUGUAAGAUCAGCAUUAAGCAUUAAUAAAAGCUGGAAGAAGUGUGUGUAACCUUAACAGUUUGAGCCUGAAAUGAUUUUUUUUUCUGGGACUGAAAAUCCAUCAAAGUGAAAUCUGUAGGUGCAGAGAGCUGCUGUUGAGAUUCUUCCAACAUGUUCCAACAGCACCUGGACUGCAUUCCUAAAAACAAGCUCAAACAGGGAUUCAUGAGCAUCCCCGUCAUUUUUCUGCUUUCCUGUAAUGCAAUUUAUCUUCCUUAAUACGUCUUUGUGUUAUUACAGUGUUUCUUAAGCAGUGAGUUUCGCCUUAAAGUGAACUUUAGCCCAAAGAUCCAAGAGUUAGGAUUCGGUUUAAGUGUCAUUAAAAAAGCAAAAGAGUCCCCCUGUCCUUCGUCAUGCAUAUCACAUUCCAUUUCAUGGUAUUUCCUAUUAGGAUGCUUUCUCUGGCU
Long non-coding RNA from Amphiprion ocellaris (clown anemonefish), 1105 nucleotides. The record is from Ensembl. Lineage: Eukaryota; Metazoa; Chordata; Actinopteri; Pomacentridae.